Molecule: long non-coding RNA, 6806 nt
Organism: Bombus pyrosoma
Lineage: Eukaryota; Metazoa; Arthropoda; Insecta; Hymenoptera; Apidae
Exons: 2
Source: RefSeq, a predicted model, not a curated record
AUAUAAAACAAAAAACGUCUAUUAUUUCCUCAUAAAACGAAAGAAGCUUUUCGGACAACCUAAUAAUAACGUUACACGUAAUGUGUAUCGAUAAAUUAAAUAUAUUUCGACACUGUCUAUUUCCGCUUUCCAACGACGCUUCGCUUUUACGUUUUACGCCUUCUAUUUAAUUGGAAUUGCCUUAAGAUGAAAAUUAGAAAAUUAAAAGCGCGUGCGAUCUGUCGUCGACGCGUCUGGAAUUAUCCGGAUAGCGCACCGGAAUUAUCUACGUGAACACGCUGCACACGAUAGUGUCACGUGGAAGACACAAGAAAUCACUAAAUUACCUGAUCACCGGUGAUCUCGCGUCGAAAUUCGAACGUUUCGUAAGUUAAAAAAUUCGCACUUUUAAAUGCGACAGUAACAUUUAGUGUACGAAUCCAACAGAGUAACGGAUCAGAGUGUUAUAACAGAGUGUGUACGGUUGAGAAUCUUGCAAGACAGUGUGUCGAGUGCUGAUGUUGGGUAGGUUUUCAUGUUUGGUAGGUUUGAGCCCUCUGGAGGGGUCGUCGUUGGGCACCAGUCACAGGUGGCUAUCCUGUUGCUGUCUUCCCGGCCUGGGACACCAGCCGAUUAUCGUCUCGAUGGCUGUGGCCUACAGGAGGUUUGUCAGGCGUGGUUGUCCUGUUAUUGUUUUAUGACCCUGUGACAAUAGCCUUGCGAUGCUGUUUUAGGAGCAAACCUGCCUUCUAAAGUUUUUCUUCUUAUUAUUAUUUAAUUUGUACUUUACAAUUUGUUCAGCUGGACAAUUGGUAAAUGACCUCUAAAGUGUAUUCUAAACCAUGUGGAAGUAAAUCAGGAGAGUUGAAUCAAGAAAUCUUGCACGAAAAACAAUCUCGAAAGAUUGAAGCGAGUUAGAAGUAUUUCAAGCAAAUAAUAAGAAAAUUCGACAAAUCUAGAGAACUUGGAGAUCUUAAAAAAGAGAUAUAUAAAAGACCAUAAACUUUAUAUUAUUCUUCGAUACGAAUUAAAGAAGAAACUGGAAAAUAAGAGGAAGAAACCUCGAGAGAAGCUUAGAAAGCAGCAUAAGCGUGUAACUCGCGUGGUCGUUCGUGUUUCGAUAAAACUAUACGAUACGACAAGCGCCAAGAGGAAUCUCGUGACGAUGAACCACGCGAAAAUCACGCACCACGUCCUUCCGUGCUCAUAAAAAAGUUUCUAAAAUUAAUUCUAAGGAAUUUGACACGGCACGGCGCUUUAUCGAGCUUCUCGUCGGCGACCUUCACGAUGGCGAUGCUCCUGCACGAUUCUCUCGUCGCUCGUCGUUCAUCCUCUGACUCGCGAACAGAGAAAGUGGAAAUAAUAAGCGAAAACGUUCGGAACGCGAAGUUAAUGUAACGUAACCAGACGGGAUCAGAGAUGGAGCACGUGUAGGAUAUAAAUAAUUCAAAAAUGUGGUCGUGUCGCUCGUGCAAUGUUCCACUGUUCUUGAACGGAGAUACGGCGGUGUCUUUGUAAGCGCGGAAACUUCUACCUUCCGAUUCGUCGUUCAACCAGACGACAAACUCGUCUAGAAAAUUCCUUUUCCGCUUUGUAGAUAAGUUCCGGUAUCGCAGAUUCACGCUAUGUCGUUUCUCGUGUUUCGUACGCUAAACUUUUCUCCAAUUAAAGCUCGAAUGUAUAGACUUUCCAAUUGGUUGUUUACAGAUGUAGAUAUUUUGCUAUUUCUUUUUGUUUUUCCUUUUCUUUUUUUUUUUUAGAUCUGUACGUAUGCGCGUUUCAGCUUAAAGAAAUAGAAUUCACCUUGAAAUCUUUGAAACGCCUUCGCUUCCGGACCGGACACACGCGCCACGCGACGUACCAUUAGAAACCGUUUAAUCCUACCUGACGAGAUUUUUUCCACCUUCUCGUCGUCUCAGCUCUUCCGAUUACAGAGAAACCUAGAAACGUUGCAACGAUAUCGAUAUCGGUAUCUAAUUAAAUCUGAUCUUCUUUUUCUUUUGUAUAUCUCUUGAAGAAAGAAGAAGAAAAGCUAGAAGAAAAGAAAAGUUUUUAGAUAAGUUUAUAUUUACGAUAUAAUAUUAUACUAACACGUACAUAACGACGCGUGCAACAACGUACACGAUGAGAUAUUUAUCCUGGCGGUAAUUUUCGAGCCACCGUGAUAAUCGUAGAAUUAAACGCGACGUCGUAAAAAUUGGGCUGUCGCAGCUGUAGUUUACGAGUAUCGCGCGAGUUUACAAUUUUAGAAUUAGAGUGGCGCGUGAAACAUUCUGAACAGAUAAUCGUCGAAUUUAUUACAGUUCGAUGUUUCCAACGCUCGCAGCGAAUGUUUCUCGCUGCGUUCGCUAUUCUUUGAUUUCUUCUUAAUUUCACGAACUGCGCAGCAAAUUCGACAGUAGCUGGCAGCCACCACCGAAUCCCGAAGUAAUUAGGCGAAUCAGCGUCAACGUGCUUACAUAAUCGCUGUAGAUUCGAGUCGUAAAACGUUGCGAGACGACACCCUCUGCCACCUCAAACGACCAAUACACGAACACGCAAACGACAAGCUCAAUUGCACCGAAUUGCUUCGCAACGAGAAGAGGAGGCAGUCGUUAUAAAUAAAUUUGAGGCAGCUCGGUGCGUCUCGUAGAAAAAUCUCGACCGUCUAUUCACGAAAGAAGCACAGAGUUUCUAGCGUUUUUCGCGUGGUUUCUCGUGCUCGAGCCUGAUUAUUUAUAGAUGGUAGAAUUUGCAUCGAGAAAGGCAAGUUGUCAUAUCAUCGAUCUUACGUCGAUAAUUUCGUAAGAUCGUCAAUAAUAAUAUUUUUUAAUAUUCUAAUUUCUAAUAUUCUAAUCUUCUGAUAUUCUCAAUCGUUAGACGACAAGCGAACGUCUGACGAAGUGACAAAAUGAUAAUCAGAAAAUUGUUUCCACCGUCCGGGAACAACAAACGACUUGACGCUAUAAUUGAACGAAUAUUUUAAUAAUUUAGAAAAAUGCAAAUAAAUCGGAUAUAACAUUAGGACGUUUUGAUAUCGAGGUGAAUAGUAACGAUCGAUGAAAAUUUAUCGAGAUAGCGAACGAAAGAAGGAACAGUGAAAUUAACGAAAUACGAGGAAUAUGGUUUAUUUUUCGUAAGAGAAUUCGAGUAACCUCGGACGAUAAAAAGGGGAAGUUAUGCGAGCCAUCUGGAGAAGGUCGAGUGCUGGCGCCUAACCAAGGUCACGGAUAGAGGAAUUUACGACCUUUCGAGUGUUCGACGAACCCUCUUUUGCGCCUCCGCUUCAAAUACCUUUCACAGAUUUCACCUGCGUACUAUUAUAUAAAAUGUUCCAUUGUUGAUUGUAAACAGAAGUUAGUACGUGGAACUUAAUGAAUAGAAAGUGUCAUUCAUGGCUCGAUUUAAAGAAAACAUUUUGGCUUUGUGUGGCUCGUUAAGCGUUUCGCUCUGCUAUUAUUAUUUUCUUCACGGCCGAUACAAGUUUACACACUUACGCUUAUGUAAACAAAUAAUUCGUCGUUCGAAGGAUUUAUUUAUAAAGCGGCGGAUUUUAUUUUAUUUAUCGAAGGAACAUCCGCCGGUGAAAUAAAUUUUUCUUUUUUCCUUUUUUUUUUUUUUUUUUGAGAUAGAAAUAUUGAUUUAUUUAUAGAGUAGCAGAUUUUAAUCUAUUCAUCGAAGGAGUAAUUUGCCUCGAUGAAAGAUAUCGAUCUUUUAACAUUUAAUACAUCUUGAUUUAAUAUAUCGAUUUCUAAAGUACAUAACACAUUUUGUCCCAUUGAAAAUGUAUUUUAUUCCUAUCCAAAUGUAUAGUUUAACAUUUAUAUAGAAUAAUGAAAUUUCACUUGGUUCAAUAUAUAACGUGUAUAAAAUACACUAAUUUUUAUCUUCUUCAAAUUUACGAAAUAAUUUCUUUCGUAAACAAUUUCCCCAAUCCACGAAUCACCCGAAAAUGAAAUAUUCCAAGUUACGUAUUUCCUCUUACUAUGCCUUUCUCUAUCUUUGCCCGGUAAACACCAACAAGAUAUACAUUAUACACUUUUGUCUCUCCUUAUUUGCAUAAAACAAUACAUUAUAAAAUAGCCUACCUACUAAAAAAAAAAAAAAAAAAAAAAAGAAAAAAGCAAUUGCAACCCACAGGUUUCUUCGAAAAUGAAACAUUCCAAGUUACAUAUUUCAUCUUAUCGCGUGUCACUACUUCUUCAUUAGUCACGGUAAACGUUUCAAUUUCUCCGAGAAACUGUGAAACGAUGAGCCAGUUCAUUCUACGAUGAUGGUUCUAUGCAUUUGGACGGAAAUAUUCACACAGAUUGGACACGGAAUGGUCGCCUUCUAUUUUGAAUGAGUAAGUGGCAGCGAUCCAGGUAAGAGCUAAUCGUUAAUCGCGAAUACCAUUCGUGACUAAUGCAACCAUCACUGCCAAAUCUCUCUCUCUCUCUCUCUCUCUCUCUCUCUAUACAUUUAUAUAUAUCAAAUAGCCGGUAGCUACGCUUGAAAAUGGUCGUAUCUCGAUGGACGCGUGUCGUUGACACUGUGCUUAGCGUCUCGACGUUAUUGUUUCGAAUUCCUCGAGUUGCUGCCCGCUGGCAUGCACCGUCCUCUUGGUGGGUGUAAAUUUCUAUGCAGCGUGACGAGUCGUUCAAUGUUCAAGUUGCAAUUUCACGCACGAUGCUCGCACGUGUCGUUCUGUUGCAAGACGAGCGUAUCGUAGGUAGAGUUGAAGCUUUGCGCACAGUGUUCGCGAGACGCGUUUAAUUGCGCUGAAAUAGCAGUUGUGACGGUAAUUACAGAAGGAAACGGGAAUCUUUGGUCGAGUUUCCAAUUUGAGAUCCCCCUUCAUUUUAUCCUGAAGUUUCCGCGUUUUCGAGUGUUGAAUUAUCGAACCGUGGAACUUGUACGAAUGUCCAGAUCGACACGAGUCUCGAGUCUCUCGGCUCUGAAACUUGAAUCCUCGAGUUCUUGACUUUCAAAAUCUCAAUCUUUGGAUCUUUCAAUUCUCUUUUCCAUCCUUAGAGUUUAGGAAAGUUCCUUCGAAUUUUUGUUAUUUACUUCGUUGCGACGAUCUUUCGAGUUUCGAGCCGCUGGUCUCCGCAGGAACCUGCGAUCCUUCGUUUCUGCGAAUUCCUGGAUUUUCGAACUAUCGAUCCUUCGAUCCUACGAGUCGUCAAAUUCCAAGCUUUCGAGUCUCCGCUUGCUGGACUCUGCGAGCCUAGUGACAAGACGCUCAGUCGAUUCGAAAACAACCGGAAAUCAAACGAAACAACUUGUCAAAUUUGUCGAUAUUUUCGAACUAGAUUUAUAGGUUUGUCAAAGUAGAUAUAUCCGUAGAAUUUGAUACAGCAAGAAUAGUAGAGGAGGGUUUACGAUAAAAGCGACUGAAAGAAGACACGUUUCGACGUUGAUGACAAGACGUCGACGAAAAUAUCGACGACGCGUCAAACAGGGACCGGACUUGUCGAAAUAACAGACGAAUCGUGGCGGUAGCUGAAAGACAAGCGGACGUCGGGCAGACGCGGAAACCGCGACGAUGGCUGUACGCUAUUUAGGGACCGCGAACGAUAUUUUCGCUCUUCCACGUCACGUCUUUGGCUUCCACGAGAUGCUUGAUCGACGAUCUUUCGUACCGCGUGGCUUUUCAUUGACCGACUUUGCAUUUGCUGUGGCGGAUAUCCGUUCCUCGAGAUAAAUAAAUAACGUGUUUCCAAAUAGAACAGAGUGUUCUGUGAAUGGAAACCUCUGCCGAUCGUACGAUCGAUUCUGGAAACUCGCGUAAAACCUGAGAAUCGAUGAAACAGACUAAGACUACAGAAGAAUAUUUUUACGAAUAUCUCGUAAACGUUCCUGUUUCCGAUUCAAGGAUAACUUGAACAAUUCUGAACAAUGUCCGAUAAGUCGUACGACAUCGAAUUCGUAGGAUGGAGAACUUUUUCUUAAGUAAAUCGAUGUUGCCUUUUUAUCGAUCGAUUUUAAAGUCAGAGAAUCGUAGAAAAAUUACAACUGCGAUCGAAGUAUGCGAGUCCAAUCUGUUUUGUGCCAUGACGUCCGACUACGAUGUCUUAUUCCACUUAUGUAAACGCCGAGACUCGUUCCCCAUUUGUUUAAAGACGAGAAGAAACACGGCUAUUCCACUUUUACGAUCCGCGGAACAUUCUGCCGAACUCGUCUGAUCACGAUCCUUAUUCUACUUAAUAGCUCAAGGUCAGAUACGGUUCCUAUUCUACUGGCCUGAUCUAAAUCAACGGAAACUCCGCUUUUUUAUUUAUUUCUCUUUUAGCGAGAUUUAAUUUACAGUUACAGGAAAAUUAUUAGAACGUUGGUGCGGGUAUUCUUCUCGACUAUUUGAUCGCUCGAUCAGAUUAUAAUUAAUUUAAACGUAGCACGCAAAUCGAGACGAAUAGUUAAUUCUGUUUUACGCAGUGAAAAAUGAAAGAAAGGUUUCUGGAGCAAUAUCUUUAUUUUACUGCGAAUACAGUUUCGUUACGUGUAUGUAUAUAUUUAUAUAUAUAUAUAUAUAUAUGUAUAUUUGGCUUAACAAUACGUUCAUAAAUACGUGAAUAUAACAUUUACAUGCGUUUCCCACCUUUUGCUUUUUAGUCUGUUCAAAUAUACAUAAAUAGCGCUAUUCGAUGCUCGACGAGCGACGAUAGAAAUCGUCUGAUUGAUCAAAUAAAAGAUACGUCUGAUAUUAAUAGAAAAGAGAAACGUUAGAACAGAGUAUAAUGAGACUAGCGAGUCAAUCGUUCAAUUGCAUUUAUUCAUUGAUCACGUUCAAAGUAUCCUUUCUUUCCUUUUCUUCUCUUCUUUCUUUUUUUUUUCUUUUUUUUUUUUAAUAUACCUCGUUCAGAUUG